RNAcentral lists this ribosomal RNA (742 nucleotides) under uncultured bacterium. RNAcentral's name for it is "bacterial SSU rRNA". It matches the Rfam family "Bacterial small subunit ribosomal RNA", at positions 8 to 796 of the family's 1533-position model. The record is from RNAcentral.
AGAGUUUGAUCCUGGCUCAGAAUGAACGCUGGCGGCAGGCCUAAAACAUGCAAGUCGAACGCUCUAGCAAUAGGGAGUGGCGCACGGGUGAGUAACAUGUGGGAAUAUGCCUUUUGGUACGGAACAACUUUUGGAAACGAAAGCUAAUACCGUAUGGUCCCUUCGGGGUAAAGAUUUAUCGCCAAAAGAGUAGCCCGCACUGGAUUAGCUAGUUGGUAAGGUAAUGGCUUACCAAAGCGACGAUCCAUAGCUGGUCUGAGAGGACGAUCAGCCACACUGGGACUGAGACACGGCCCAGACUCCUACGGGAGGCAGCAGUUAGGAAUCUUGGACAAUGGGCGCAAGCCUGAUCCAGCCAUGCCGCGUGAGUGAUGAAGGCCUUCGGGUUGUAAAGCUCUUUAGUCCACGAAUAUAAUGACUGUAGUGGAAGAAUAAGCCCCGGCUAACUUCGUGCCAGCAGCCGCGGUAAUACGAAGGGGGCGAGCGUUGUUCGGAAUCACUGGGCGUAAAGAGUGCGUAGGCGGUUAUGAAAGUUAGAAGUGAAAGCCCAGGGCUUAACCUUGGAAUUGCUUUUAAAACUACAUAACUCGAAUUCGGGAGAGGAUAGCGGAAUUGUCAGUGUAGCAGUGAAAUGCGUAGAUAUUGACAGGAACACCAGUGGCGUAAGCGGCUAUCUGGACCGACAUUGACGCUGAGGCACGAAAGCGUGGGGAUCAAACAGGAUUAGAUACCCUGGUAGUCC